CAGACGGGUGGUGUAGGUCUGCACUUGGGAACUGAACCUGGGCUGCCCAAGCAGAGCGCCUUGCACCAUUCUUGUUGGUUUAUUCCUAGGGGAUUUUUUUUAAGUUUAUGUUGCCAUUGGGAAUGGGAUCUUUAGGUUUUAGUUUUCCACAGAGAAAAGAAUAUGAGAAUGAAAAGAAAGCAGGAGUUGAAAGAAUUGGAGAAAGAAAAAAGCAAAGAUGAAAUGAUGCAGAAGGAAGACAGAGAAGAGAAAAUUGGAUUUUAGUGAGUACCUAUUUUGUGACAUGCCCUGUGGUAGAGACGUUCGGGAGCACCUCUCACCGGCCAGCUCAUGCGCUCUUCCUGCCAGGUGGCUCACCUGAGCAAACUGAAGUUGAAAAGGUCAGUGAGGGAGCACGGAACAGGAAAUGGAAAGUGAACAGGUUUGGAGUGAGGCCUGGGACCCCGUCCCAGAUUCCCCUCUCACCAGCUGUGUGGUUUUGCUCCAGUUACCUAAUUACCUUCCCCAUUUGUAAAGUUUACAUAGUAUCUGCUCGGGUGACCGUGGGGAUUAAUUGGAAUAAGCAUCUAAAGGGCCUGCUGCGUUAGGCGCUGCUCUCCACACGCGCCCGCGCCCACCGGGGACCGUCCCUGCCCACGCUCCGGCCUUUCCGCCACGGCCGUCGCCGAGUCUGCUCAGGACUGCACGGAGCCGUUCUGUUAACAUGCAACGAGAUGUUUAUCCCGUGAGUGCAUCACAUCCAGGAACGCAUACCUGACAUUCUUAAGAAAGACUGUAGGAGAGACAGUUGUUAGGAGCUGUGAUCUGAGUCUGAAAAAAAUCACAUAAGCCUGAAACAAAAUCAGCCGUUUUUACAAAAGGAGGCAUUGUUGAAAUGUGGAUCCUUAGUCAAGCCCCACUCCCCCGCCGUGAGAAACACCCUCUGUUUCUGCCCGAACAAUAGUUCCUUGUGCCGAGACAAUACUGGCUGCAUAGCCCUGGAAAGCAUCAAAUUCCCAUGGCGAUGGCAACGCUUUCUCCCAGGGACACUGGAAACAGUGUCUGGAGGAGCCGCACCGCUGGACCCAGGCCCUCAGCCCUGGAGAGGAGGCUCCGUUCCAGCCCGAAGAGCAGGAAAACAGAGCUGCGCCCUCGUCCUGGCUACGUCUUGUUUUUGCUGCAGGGCUCUGCCCCUCCCAGGAAGUUAUGCUUAUAAGAUGUGAGUAUAAAGUCGAGAAAGAGAGGGAAAUAAGACAUACUGAAAUGCCUAAAUGAGCGUUCUCUUCUGGGCAGCAUCUCCAUCGGGUCCCAGCACGUUGCGCUUACUCACCGGGAAACGCGUGGCCCCGGGCUGGAUUUAAAUCCUCCGGCUCCGCAGCUGGGAGCUCUUGAGGACAUUAGCUCGCCUCUCUGAGCCUCAUUUUCUUCAUGCAAAAAAUGGGGUUAAUAACAAGGACCUCAGAGGAUCGCUGUGAGGAUAAUACAAAAAUGUGCUCAAUAAAAAUCAGAAUUAUUCUUUCUUCAUACAGGGAAUUUAAUUCAGAGCCCCUGAAUGUCUUCAGUGAUUCUCAUUUCCCUUUUCAAGGGGGAAUUUGGUUUCUGCAAUAGCCAUAUAUCGUAAGAUUCUGGGACCAGUAAAUGAUGUAUGUGAUAAAACUGAGCAGUUGUAUUUUUUACUUUCUUUAAAGGGAGGUUGUCUUUUAAAUACCGAGACUAGUUUCCAUAAGUGUGUGAUUUACAGACUGACCUUGACCUGUUGGAUCUAUGUUUAAAUUGUGUCCAGAAGCCAGUUGCUUCUCACUGCCUCCUGCUACCACCUGUUCAAAUCGAAGCCAUUAGCGUCUUUCUCCAGGAGCAUUCAAAUAGCCCCUCCUAACUGGCUUCCCUGUUUCCACUAUUGCCCUUGGUGUAUUUUGAGCAAUGGCAGUAUCAUUGGAAUAAAUGUAUCGCCUCCCCAGAGGGAUGCUUUGACCAUCAUUUAUUUAGAUAUUCACUUAUUCAACAAAUAAUUAUGGAGCCCCUACCAUAUGCCAGCGUUGUUCCAGGCUCUGGCACUACAACAAUAAACACAACAGGCACAGAUCCCUGCCUCUUGGAUUGUAUAUUCUUGGGAGGCGCCAUGACCAUUGAACAAACAAGCAAGCACAGUGUAGCCUAUGCCAGGUUGUGAUGGGCAUUAUGGGAAAAAAUGCGGAGUAAAGGCACAGGGAGUGGGGUAGGAAGGGGGCUUGUUAUUUUAAAUAUGAUAGCUGGGAAAAUCCCUCUGAUGAACUGACGUUUGAGCAGAGACCAGAAGGAGGGGGGAGGGGGGAGAGGGGCGUGUGGUUAUGUGGGAGGAGGAAAGGAGGGUGUUCCAGGCAGACAGGACAGCUGGUGCAAAGGCCCUGAGGCAAAGCAGAGGCCAGAACAGCCCCAGCAAAGUGAGUGAAAGAAGAACAGAGGGGUGGUUACAGACACGCUGGGAGUGGGAAAGCGAUCACAGUGGGCCCUGUGGGCCGCCGUGAGGACUCGGCUCCUAUUCUAGUGAACUGGAAAGCCACCAGAGGAUUUUGAGGGCAGAAGUGAUGAUGAUCUGAUUUACAUUUUUAAACUGACCUCGACCUAUUGGUCAACAGGUUGGGAGUAGCCAUAUGGUUGUAAUGCUGGGAGACUUGGCAAGACUAGGGUGAGACCAGGGCAGGAUUUGGGAUUGGUGACAAAGCAGGGAGAACAGAAUCUGGAUUUCCUUCAGAAGCCUGAACCCUUGGGGGGCAGUCUACCAUCAGGGUGAACAGAUGGGUUCUGCAGUUGGUCAGCUUGAGUUUGACGAGCCAUGUCGAGGACGUGGAGAACGCGGCCCGGACCUCAGCUGCUCAUCACAGUGACAUACAACUGCAGGCACAGCGGGAACGCACUGCAAUUCUUGCUGUAGGAAGCCGUCGCUCGCUGCUCCAUGACGCUGACCGUUGCUGGCAAUUCAGAAUGCUCCGGGCUGAGGCAUUUGUUGCAUCUCUUCUCAAGGUAUAUCUAAUGGUACGUCAGCCUUACUCAGUAACCCAGUUAUAGAAAAUACAUUUCACAGAAUUUUACAUUGCUGCUUUUUGUGAAUUACAGCUUCCGGGAACUCAUUUUGAAACCCCAAAUAGUAUAGAAGAAACAUUUGCCACAGACUGUGUCUUGCUUCUCAAUGUAAGGAAAAAUACAACUUGUACCUCAGCAUUAUAUUCUCCAAAUCUGUUGGGUAAAGAAGACAAUGCCUAGCUCUGUGGGUGAUACAACCGACGGAGCCUGGACUUUGCUGCAGGGGAGGUAGAUGAUCCACACAGCACAUGGCUAUCGGUUGCUUCUGUAACUAAGAGCGGCUGUAUGUGCUGGGGCUCAGCACUCCUUCCCUUGGAAGCUGCCGAACAGACUGCAGAGAGCUAUAUUCUGCUUUUCUAUAAGGAGAAAACAAUUCUUUGUUAUUCAGAUUUACUUCUCAAAUGGGUUACUGAAAUACUUAGGACUGGGUAUGUAACCGCUUUGUGUCUUACUCAUUCAAGAAAUAUUUCUGUUCAAUUUCAGGCGCUGAUCUAUGUGUUUGGGCUAUGUUAGUAAACAAAACAUCUAAAAGUCUCCGCCUUCUUGGAGCUUACAUUCUAGUGGGGGGGGAGAAAAAAUAACUAAAAACAUAAUAAAUAGUUAAAUUAUAUAAUAUGUUGGAAGCCCAUAAAAUGCUGUGGAAAAGUAGAGGGUGCUAAGAGAUUUGGGCAUGCAGGGGGAGGGAGGGACCGCUUGCAGUUUUUGACAGAGGAGAUAAGGUGAGCCUCACUGAGAGGGUGACAUUUGAGUAAAGAUUUGCAGGAGGUGAAGUAGUUAGUGGACUCCUGGGGAAAGAAUGUGUCGGGCAGAUGGAAGAGCCAGGGCGCAAGCCUUCAGGCAGAAACAAGGCAGGACAGUGUGAGGAAAGCAUGGAGACCAGUAUGGCGGGUGUGGGAUGAAUGAGGGAGAGAGUAACAGGAGGUGAGGUCAGAGAGGCGAUGAGGCCCUGCUUGUAGAGGGCCUCACUGGCCAUUUAAGGACUUCGGCAUUUGGUCUGAGUGAAAUGGGAAGCUUUGGGAGGAUUUUAAGCAGAGGAAUGAUAUGCUCUGAGUUACAUUUUAGGAAGGUCAUUCUGGUUUCUGUACUGGGAAUAGUCUCUUGAAAGGCUGGUUUGGGAGCAAGAAGACCAAGUAGGAGACUGUAGCAAUAAUCUAGCUGAGAGAUGAUGAUGACUCAAGCCAGAGUGGUAGCUGGGGGCUGGAGGGAAGGGGUGUGAGUGAGAGGAGUCGACAGGGAUACCAGCGUUUUUGGUAUGAGCAAUUGGAAGGGUGGAGUUUCCAUCGACUCAAAUGGGAACAACCUCUGAUGGGGUAGGUUUGUGGGAGAAGAUGAGAACUUAAUUUUUAGACAUGUUAAGUUUGAGAUGCCUGUGAGGCACCAAGUGGGCAUGUCAAGUAGGCAGCUGCCUAUAUGAGUCUAAAGUUCGAGAGAGAGGUGGGUCACAAGAUAGAAAUUUGGGAGUCGUUGUCAUAUCGGUAAAGGCGUUCGUUGAGAAAGUUGGUACAAGGAAAGAAGAAAAUCAAGGACUGCUCCCUGGGGCGCUCCAAAAUUAAUAGAUCUUGGAGAAGAGCGGGGUCUAAAAUGAAGACUGAGAAGAAAUAACCAGUGAGAGAGGAGGCAAAUGAAAAGGAGUAAGGCGUCCUGGAAGCCAAGUGAAGAAAAUAUACUGACGGGGGACUGAUCAACCGUGCCAUUGGAUUUGCAGCCAAUGAGGCAAGCCAGCCCUGGGGCUCCCUCUAGGCUGGGAGGUCCUAGCAGGAGGAGGACGGUUCCACAGAAAGCAGCCUGAGGUGGCAGCCCAGGAUUCGGGAUUUCAAGAUUCAUAAGCAUCGUGACCAUAUUGAAAUCUGCUAGACGUAUAAAUAACAUUUGGCACAGGACAGCAGAUCCAGAUGAGUUGAUAAAGGAGAUAUAGAUGUGGACACAAGUUCCCAGGGGACUUCAAACUGCGUGGAGAUUGACACUUCUGGGCUUCAUUCCAUAUGGAGAGACCUGCAGGGCUGCCCUGGGAGAGGACCCAGUGCUCGAAAUGAAGAACGUAGAUGAUGUUCACAGCUGUAAUGAUUCACAAUCUGCUAUCUGAAACAGACCUUCAAAAUCAUCCAAUCUGUUGGAUCUUUAAAAUCAUCCAAUGAGUAAAAUCUGUUAUUAUACUAGUGAGAAAACUGAGCUUCAUUUUGUUAUCUAGUCAGUGAAUGGCUCGGGAGUUCUAAAAUCCAGGUCUCCAGAGGGUCAACGCUAGAAUCUUCCCACCAAACCAACACAGCCUCUUCCACAACAUCGUAUGGUCCUUGACUCCAAUUAUCUGUGGAAAACAGAUAAUAUAAGGAAACGUCCCUGGGGUGGAAUCCUGGGGCCACCAUGCUGCCCAACUCCAUGGAGCACAUUUCCUUCUCUUCUCUCCCAAAACUGCAAGAACCAGAACACUAAUACAUGUGAAUUUCAAGUUUAGCUGAAGCAUCCUUCAAACCACAGUGUGGGGUAACCAUCUGGGGCAAAACAAUGGGAUAAAGAAGAAAAAGGAGGGACCAGGGCCGGCCCCGUGGCCGAGUGGUUAAGUUGGCGCACUCCCCGUU
Equus caballus (horse) is the source of this 5615-nucleotide non-coding RNA. The record is from RefSeq and is a predicted model, not a curated record. Lineage: Eukaryota; Metazoa; Chordata; Mammalia; Perissodactyla; Equidae.